This 71-nucleotide transfer RNA is filed under the name Ictidomys tridecemlineatus (thirteen-lined ground squirrel). Its description in RNAcentral is "Spermophilus tridecemlineatus (thirteen-lined ground squirrel) tRNA". It matches the Rfam family "tRNA". Rfam says of the family: Transfer RNA (tRNA) molecules are approximately 80 nucleotides in length. Their secondary structure includes four short double-helical elements and three loops (D, anti-codon, and T loops). Further hydrogen bonds mediate the characteristic L-shaped molecular structure. tRNAs have two regions of fundamental functional importance: the anti-codon, which is responsible for specific mRNA codon recognition, and the 3' end, to which the tRNAs corresponding amino acid is attached (by aminoacyl-tRNA synthetases). tRNAs cope with the degeneracy of the genetic code in two manners: having more than one tRNA (with a specific anti-codon) for a particular amino acid; and 'wobble' base-pairing, i.e. permitting non-standard base-pairing at the 3rd anti-codon position. The record is from Rfam by way of RNAcentral. Lineage: Eukaryota; Metazoa; Chordata; Mammalia; Rodentia; Sciuridae.
GAUAUGUAGCUCAGUGGUGGAGCACUUGCUUAGUGUGCAUGAGGCCCUGGGUUCAAUCCCCAGUAGUAUCA